CGCACGGUAGGGGAGCCUGGUCGUCCCGCGAGUUUCAUACGCUCGAGAUCGCAAGUUCAAAUCUUGCCCGCGCAACCA
This 78-nucleotide transfer RNA is filed under the name Variovorax paradoxus. RNAcentral describes it as "tRNA-Met". It matches the Rfam family "tRNA". From Rfam's summary of the family: Transfer RNA (tRNA) molecules are approximately 80 nucleotides in length. Lineage: Bacteria; Pseudomonadati; Pseudomonadota; Betaproteobacteria; Burkholderiales; Comamonadaceae. The record is from RNAcentral.